AUUGACUAUGGAGUUGAGAUAGGUUCCUACCGGUUCGUGGGAAGCGUAUUUUGUUGGGCAUAAAGGGGCCCCGGGUUUGAGACUCUACUACACGGCGUAUAUAGAUAGAAUUAUAGAUGACGAGCUGCUGGCUGGUAUUACUCUGUGGGUGUAGUACACCACAUGGAUGUAUCUUGUACUGUAGUUAGAUGUACCACACCAGUUGUCGUGUUUUCGAGGCUGGAGAUUCAGGGGCUCCGGAUUACCAAAAGAAAGAAAGAAAAAAAAAAAAAAAGCACAUCGCUCUCGAGAGUCAGCACUUGACAUUUAAUGUUUGUAAAUCCUGACUAAACGAACAUGGAGAAGUUUGUAAUAUCCAUACAAUAGUUACAGAUAGCA
This 378-nucleotide small RNA is filed under the name Histoplasma capsulatum. RNAcentral's name for it is "hypothetical RNA". The record is from RNAcentral. Lineage: Eukaryota; Fungi; Ascomycota; Eurotiomycetes; Onygenales; Ajellomycetaceae.